UUGUAAAAAAGUGAAUAUUUUGGUAAAUUGGUAGAAUUUGUGUUCAAAUGGACAAGAAAAAUAUUCAGGCUUCCGGAUCUAAACAGUCGGCAAUGGACUCCAUUGAAUUUUCACCCACAAAGCAGCCAAGGCGGAUUUUUAAGAAAACGAAUCAACAAGAUAUGAUAGACGAAAUGAGAGCGGACAUUAAACGUUUGUGUGUCGCCACGGAGCAGCUAAAAAAUGGGAUCUGCACAUUGGCAGCAUUUUUAUCAAUAAAAUCAUAAAAAUUUACAUGACUGUUUUUUUUAAAUAUUUGUAUCCAAAGAUUUAGGUAUGAGUAAAAAAUAAUUCGAUAAUAAAAACAUGAUUGACUUCAUUUAUGCACAUUCACGAAAUUUUUCACCAGGUCAAUUUGCAUUAGUGAAUGAGUUACAUUGGCUUCCCUAAGGAAACCACUGGUCAAUAUUCAUUUAUGAAAAAGGCGUUCAAUUUUGCAAAGUGAAUUCCUUGGUGAACAUUCAUCACAU
Eupeodes corollae is the source of this 509-nucleotide long non-coding RNA. RefSeq lists it as uncharacterized. The transcript has 3 exons. Lineage: Eukaryota; Metazoa; Arthropoda; Insecta; Diptera; Syrphidae. The record is from RefSeq and is a predicted model, not a curated record.